RNAcentral lists this long non-coding RNA (192 nucleotides) under Dromaius novaehollandiae (emu). RNAcentral's name for it is "lncRNA (ENSDNVG00000001090.1)". Lineage: Eukaryota; Metazoa; Chordata; Aves; Casuariiformes; Dromaiidae. The record is from RNAcentral.
AUGCCAUACCUGAGGGCUUGACCUGCCUCAUUGGUCUUCCUGGAAAUAGGCGCACUUAGUCCUCCUGCUUGGAUCCUGAAAAAGGCAAACCCAGAACUGGAGCAGAGUCUAUACAGAAAAUGGCAGGGACAUAAUUACCACAAAGGGCACUGAAACAAUAAAUGUAGAAGAAACCAAGUAGGAAGAGGACUG